This 429-nucleotide ribosomal RNA is filed under the name bacterium. RNAcentral describes it as "partial 16S ribosomal RNA". It matches the Rfam family "Bacterial small subunit ribosomal RNA", at positions 355 to 776 of the family's 1533-position model. The record is from RNAcentral.
UAGGGAAUCUUCCACAAUGGACGCAAGUCUGAUGGAGCAACGCCGCGUGAGUGAAGAAGGUUUUCGGAUCGUAAAGCUCUGUUGUUGGUGAAGAAGGAUAGAGGCAGUAACUGGUCUUUAUUUGACGGUAAUCAACCAGAAAGUCACGGCUAACUACGUGCCAGCAGCCGCGGUAAUACGUAGGUGGCAAGCGUUGUCCGGAUUUAUUGGGCGUAAAGCGAGCGUAGGCGGAAUGAUAAGUCUGAUGUGAAAGCCCACGGCUCAACCGUGGAACUGCAUCGGAAACUGUCAUUCUUGAGUGCAGAAGAGGAGAGUGGAAUUCCAUGUGUAGCGGUGGAAUGCGUAGAUAUAUGGAAGAACACCAGUGGCGAAGGCGGCUCUCUGGUCUGCAACUGACGCUGAGGCUCGAAAGCAUGUGUAGCGAACAGG